Molecule: RNA transcript, 979 nt
Organism: Nematostella vectensis (starlet sea anemone)
Lineage: Eukaryota; Metazoa; Cnidaria; Anthozoa; Actiniaria; Edwardsiidae
Exons: 2
Source: RefSeq, a predicted model, not a curated record
GGUCAGUGUACCAAGAGGGGAGGUGUUGACAAGGUAUGUAAUGGUUGGACUAUCAGUCCAUAUGGUACUGCCUGGACAGUGUACCAGGAGGAAGAUGUGACAAGGUAUUGGUCAGACCAUUAGUCAACAUGCUUACAACCUUGAAAGUGUUACAGGAUGGAGGUUGGUAGUCGGACCAUCAGACAUAGAACCAGGGCCUGGAUGGACUUGAAGCACUUGAUGAGUAACAUGUACUGUAAUGUUUUUCACCAGGUAUUCCAAGUUGUUGGUGUAACCCAUAAUCACCAGGUGGUAGAUACUGUCCUUUCUCAACCAAUCAAGACAAAACUCCUGAGGAUCACUACCGUCACGUGCCACUUCUGGUGUGCACUGAGAUUGGAAGUGUAUGGUUAUGACGCGGACUAAUUGUGUUCUGUCCAUUAAUCUACAAGACACUGUUGAAGGACAAGAAUUACAGAUGAAGCGCACAAAAUAAAAAGAUGCACAGUUCAUGGGAUAGGGAUUAUGUAUUAGAGGCAAUUCACAGUACACACUAGGAAUAGGGGCUGAGAAAGAGGAUGCACAGUUCGCUAGAAACAGAUCAUGUUGUAGAAAAUAAUUAAAAGUUCUUUUAAUAGUGCUCAUGUUAUAAAAGAGAAUUCACAUUUCGCUCAAAACAGAUCAUGUUGUAUAAAGAGAAUUAAAAGUUCGCUUAAAAGCGCUCAUGAUAUAAAAGAGAAUUCACAUUUCACUAGAAACAGAUCUUGUUGUAUAAAGAGAAUUAAAAGUUCGCUUAAAAGUGCUCAUGUUAUAAAAAAGAAUUCACAUAUUGCAAAAGCUCUAAACUCAACACUAAAAUGAAUUGUGAAACGUUUAACUUCUUCAUUUUCGUCCUUAUCGGACCUUGGUAAUAAUUCCGCAUCAAAAUAAGGUGAUGGGUGCAUGUUGUAAAAAUCGAAGUCAUGUUAGGAUUGUAAUAAUAAACAUUACCAACUGAUGC